ACCUUCAGGAUCAACAAUCCAACCACAACACCUUCCUCACAUCAACGACAUUCACAUCAUCCACCAACCCAUGAUUUAACUUCUCCACAUAAACUUCCAUUGGAGAGUUUUGACUCAACCCAAAAUUUAGCACCUCAGCAACAUGGCUAUCCAACACCAACUCUUUAAAUCCAGCAUUAGCCCCCUCCCAGCAUAACUUAAAAUCUCCCUUAAUCUUAACAUCCUGCUUCAGAAUCCCAACAAAUUCAAAAAAGCUCCAUUUGUCAAUGUCUAUCUCUGAUAACAGAGUUAUGUCUCCUCCAAAAUACUUCAAAAAGGGUUCAGGAGUAAAAUAACCCCCAUGGUUAACCUCCACAGUAAAAGCCAUCUCUGAAAAAACCAGAAAAAAAAAUAAUUAGCCUAAAAAAAUAUUAUUUUUUCCAUCAACAAUGACCCCACCCCAUGUGCACCCCACCACAUAAUGACAACAUAGUAGCAGACAUGAGAGAAUAAAAAACAUGAGCACAAUAAAGAAGACUCACCUGUUUUGGUCCACCUACUUCACUUUUGGAACCACAACCUUCAAUACCAGAACCUUGAUCCAAACCUUCAGCCAAACGCGUAUGCUUCAAACUCGCACGAAACCCUAACCCCCAAAACACGAGAACAUCAACCUCGGAGGCACACAACUCACGUGAUCGCCGUCAGCACGUCCCAAGCGAGACCCUCCACGAUAGCGAUGAUGACUCGCAAUUGCGAACCCUAGCCCUUUUGCGGUGAAGUGAGGCGGAGCGUGUGUAGGGAACACAAGUAUGAGACUGAGGAAAGGCUGAUCCAUUUGGCCUUUCUAAGAUAGCAAAACAACACAAGUAUUUUGUGUUGCAUCAGUUUUUAUUUUAAGGUUUAAUUAGUUAUUUAAUCUCUAUCAUUUCUAAAUUUAUUUUGUUUACUAUUUACCCUUGAUAGGCAAAUUUUCAAGUCUCU
This 963-nucleotide long non-coding RNA is filed under the name Glycine max (soybean). Its description in RNAcentral is "long non-coding RNA (GMAX_LNC002512)". Lineage: Eukaryota; Viridiplantae; Streptophyta; Magnoliopsida; Fabales; Fabaceae. The record is from RNAcentral.